AAAUGAAUUGACGGGGGCCCGCACAAGCGGUGGAGCAUGUUGCUUAAUUCGAGGCAACGCGAAGAACCUUACCCGGGUUUGACAUGCUUCCGGCCGGCGUUGAAAGACGCCCUUCCCUCGGGACGGAAGCACAGAUGCUGCAUGGCUGUCGUCAGCUCGUGCCGUGAGGUGUUCGGUUAAGUCCGGCAACGAGCGCAACCCGUGCCGCCAGUUGCCAUCAGGUGACGCUGGGGACUCUGGCGGGACCGCCCGUGUCAAGCGGGAGGAAGGCGCGGAUGACGUCAAGUCCGUAUGGCUCUUACAUCCGGGGCUGCAAACGUGCUACAAUGGCCGGCACAAUGGGCCGCCGCCCCGCGAGGGGCGGCCAAUCCCCAAAACCGGCCCCAGUUCGGAUCGCAGUCUGCAACUCGACUGCGUGAAGUCGGAAUCGCUAGUAAAGGGACAUCAGCAACGGUCCCUUGAAUACGUUCCCGGGCCUUGCACACACCGCCCGU
This 494-nucleotide ribosomal RNA is filed under the name uncultured bacterium. RNAcentral's name for it is "bacterial SSU rRNA". It matches the Rfam family "Bacterial small subunit ribosomal RNA", at positions 903 to 1397 of the family's 1533-position model. The record is from RNAcentral.